Long non-coding RNA from Cryptomeria japonica (Japanese cedar), 727 nucleotides. RefSeq lists it as uncharacterized. The transcript has 4 exons. The record is from RefSeq and is a predicted model, not a curated record. NCBI's taxonomy places the organism in Eukaryota, Viridiplantae, Streptophyta, Pinopsida, Cupressales, Cupressaceae.
UUUUCUUUAAAGUUUUUGGUCAAAUACAUCUUAUCUCAUACUUUGACUAUGGCAACGAAUCUUUUUGCGCAGAACAUUACAUGCUUAUCCUUCGUGCCCUUGUUGCAUCAACAAUCAUUCACUAAAGAGUAGUUAUAAGAAAAGAUCAUGCAACAACAUCAAGGAGCUUAUGCGUGGAAUGGGGAGUGAUUCAAAGUUUAUAUCAAUAGAGCAGUUCAAGCUUUCACAAGUAGCUUCAUGCACAGAUCUGGCAAUUAUAUCACAGUUAUAGGUGGACUAUGAAAGGAGGGGUCUUAUUUCUCCCAAUCAUACAUGUACUCAUAUGUUAAACUUUGUAUUGAAGGUUGUACUUGGUGAUCACAUUGAUCAAAAGGGAUCCUUGGUAGCUCCAAACAAGUUCCACUUUGAUUUAUCACAUGGUUAGGUGUUAUUGAGCCAUCAAAGUAUCAUUUGUUCCUCUUAUUGUGUUAUUUCUCAUAGGCAAACCUAUUAAUGUUGAUGCUUUGAAGCAAAUAGAGGGAAUUGUAAAUCAGCUGGUUCAAGAUGAGUUAUAUGUAUAUGCAAAAGAAGCUAGCUUGAUGGAGGCAAAAUGCAUCUGGGUCUCCUAGCUGUGUUUGGAGAAGUAAGGAACCCUCAUUAACGAGGGUCGAACUCAGAGAAAUUUUUUUAUCUUGAUAAGUUGUGAAAUUUAAUGUUUUACUAAAUUGCUAUACUUUUUAAAUUUCUC